AUUGAACGCUGGCGGCAGGCCUAACACAUGCAAGUCGAACGAGUGGCGGACGGGUGAGUAAUGUCUGGGAAACUGCCUGAUGGAGGGGGAUAACUACUGGAAACGGUAGCUAAUCACGCAUACCAUACCCUAUGCCCAGAUGGGCUUAGAUAGUUGGAGGGGUAACGGCUCACCAAGGCGACGAUCCCUAGCUGGUCUGAGAGGAUGACCAGCCACACUGGAACUGAGACACGGUCCAGACUCCUACGGGAGGCAGCAGUGGGGAAUAUUGCACAAUGGGCGCAAGCCUGAUGCAGCCAUGCCGCGUGUAUGAAGAAGGCCUUCGGGUUGUAAAGUACUUUCAGCGGGGAGGCGUUACCCGAAGAUGAAGCACCGGCUAACUCCGUGCCAGCAGCCGCGGUAAUAC
RNAcentral lists this ribosomal RNA (406 nucleotides) under uncultured bacterium. Its description in RNAcentral is "partial 16S ribosomal RNA". It matches the Rfam family "Bacterial small subunit ribosomal RNA", at positions 30 to 526 of the family's 1533-position model. The record is from RNAcentral.